RNAcentral lists this ribosomal RNA (670 nucleotides) under uncultured bacterium. RNAcentral's name for it is "bacterial SSU rRNA". It matches the Rfam family "Bacterial small subunit ribosomal RNA", at positions 138 to 807 of the family's 1533-position model. The record is from RNAcentral.
CGGGGAUAGCCUUUCGAAAGAAAGAUUAAUACCCGAUGGCAUAGUUCUUCCGCAUGGUAGAACUAUUAAAGAGUUUCGGUCAUCGAUGGGGAUGCGUUCCAUUAGCUUGUUGGCGGGGUAACGGCCCACCAAGGCAUCGAUGGAUAGGGGUUCUGAGAGGAAGGUCCCCCACAUUGGAACUGAGACACGGUCCAAACUCCUACGGGAGGCAGCAGUGAGGAAUAUUGGUCAAUGGGCGCUAGCCUGAACCAGCCAAGUAGCGUGAAGGAUGACUGCCCUAUGGGUUGUAAACUUCUUUUAUAUGGGAAUAAAGUGCAGUAUGUAUACUGCUUUGCAUGUACCUUAUGAAUAAGGAUCGGCUAACUCCGUGCCAGCAGCCGCGGUAAUACGGAGGAUCCGAGCGUUAUCCGGAUUUAUUGGGUUUAAAGGGAGCGUAGGCGGGUUGUUAAGUCAGUUGUGAAAGUUUGCGGCUCAACCGUAAAAUUGCAAUUGAAACUGGCAUCCUUGAGUACAGUAGAGGUAGGCGGAAUUCGUGGUGUAGCGGUGAAAUGCUUAGAUAUCACGAAGAACUCCAAUUGCGAAGGCAGCCUGCUGGACUGUAACUGACGCUGAUGCUCGAAAGUGUGGGUAUCAAACAGGAUUAGAUACCCUGGUAGUCCACACAGUAAAC